UCAUUCUAGAUACACUUUCCAGUACAUCUACUAUGUUACGACUUAUCUUACCUUAAAAAUAAGAGCGACGGGCGAUGUGUACAUAUUUUAGAGCUAUAAUCAAAUUAUUAAUCUUUAUAAUUUUACAACCAAAUCCACUUUCAAAAAUUUUUUCAUAAUUUCAUCCAUUUAAAUAAAUUUAUUGUAACCCAUUAUUACUUAAACAUAAGCUACACCUUGAUCUGAUAUAAAUUCUUAUAAAAAUUAUUGAAUAUUUUUAUUCUUAUAAAAUAUUCUGAUAACGACGGUAUAUAAACUGAUUACAAAUUAAAGUAAGGUCCAUCGUGGAUUAUCGAUUACAAAACAGGUUCCUCUGGAUAGACUAAAAUACCGCCAAAUUUUUUAAGUUUCAAGAACAUAAGUAUUACUACUUAAAUA
This 417-nucleotide ribosomal RNA is filed under the name Drosophila huckinsi. RNAcentral's name for it is "partial 12S ribosomal RNA". Lineage: Eukaryota; Metazoa; Arthropoda; Insecta; Diptera; Drosophilidae. The record is from RNAcentral.